This is a non-coding RNA of Acanthosepion pharaonis, 110 nucleotides long. The record is from the annotation of a GenBank genome assembly. Lineage: Eukaryota; Metazoa; Mollusca; Cephalopoda; Sepiida; Sepiidae.
UUACAGCCAUAUCACGUUGAAACACCGGUACCCGUAAGAUCACCGAAGUUAAGCAACGUCGAGUCUGGUCAUUACCUAGAUAGGUGACCACUUGGGAAUACUAGGUACUA